This 348-nucleotide ribosomal RNA is filed under the name uncultured bacterium. RNAcentral describes it as "partial 16S ribosomal RNA". It matches the Rfam family "Bacterial small subunit ribosomal RNA", at positions 338 to 684 of the family's 1533-position model. The record is from RNAcentral.
CCUACGGGAGGCAGCAGUGAGGAAUAUUGGUCAAUGGCCGAGAGGCUGAACCAGCCAAGUCGCGUGAGGGAAGACGGCCCUACGGGUUGUAAACCUCUUUUGUCGGGGAGCAAAGCGAACCACGUGUGGUUCAUUGAGAGUCACCGAAGAAAAAGCAUCGGCUAACUCCGUGCCAGCAGCCGCGGUACUACGAAGGAUGCGAGGGUUAUCAGGAUUUAUUGGGUUUAAAGGGUGCGCAGGGGGAGGGGCAAGUCGGCGGUCAAAUUGCGGGGCUCAACCCCGUACUGCAGUUGAAACGGCUUCCCGUGAGUGCUCUAGAGGUAUGCGGAAUGCGUGGUGUAGCGGUGA